AUAUGUGUAGACUAAUUAAGUCUGUGAAUUUACAAUUCAAAAAUAAUUUUAAAUUUACGUAA
RNAcentral lists this transfer RNA (62 nucleotides) under Liposcelis sculptilimacula. Its description in RNAcentral is "tRNA-Val". The record is from RNAcentral. Lineage: Eukaryota; Metazoa; Arthropoda; Insecta; Psocodea; Liposcelididae.